This 87-nucleotide non-coding RNA is filed under the name unclassified sequences. The record is from RNAcentral.
CAUAAACUGCCGCCGGGUAGCAAAACGCCACGUCAGAUUUCAUGUCAUUAGGCCGUAGAAGACAUGAAAGGCUGGCGCUUUUUCAAU